UACGGAGGGGGCUAGCGUUGUUCGGAAUCACUGGGCGUAAAGCGCACGUAGGCGGACUCUUAAGUCGGUGGUGAAAUCCUGGAGCUCAACUCCAGAACUGCCCUCGAUACUGAGAGUCUUGAGUCCGGGAGAGGUGAGUGGAACUGCGAGUGUAGAGGUGAAAUUCGUAGAUAUUCGCAAGAACACCAGUGGCGAAGGCGGCUCACUGGCCCGGUACUGACGCUGAGGUGCGAAAGCGUGGGGAGCAAACAGG
This 253-nucleotide ribosomal RNA is filed under the name uncultured bacterium. RNAcentral describes it as "partial 16S ribosomal RNA". It matches the Rfam family "Bacterial small subunit ribosomal RNA", at positions 524 to 776 of the family's 1533-position model. The record is from RNAcentral.